This 451-nucleotide transfer-messenger RNA is filed under the name Patescibacteria group. RNAcentral describes it as "2-02-FULL-38-14 sp001772865 X2 Standard tmRNA". It matches the Rfam family "transfer-messenger RNA". Rfam says of the family: Bacterial tmRNA, also known as 10Sa RNA or SsrA, is named for its dual tRNA and mRNA-like properties. Its role is to liberate the mRNA from a stalled ribosome. To accomplish this part of the tmRNA is used as a reading frame that ends in a translation stop signal. RNAcentral also lists the same sequence under 1 other name. The record is from RNAcentral.
GGGGAUGACAGGAUUUGACUGAAAGAUCUUGAUUAUAGAAGCAAGUCGAAGUGCUAGAUCUUCGUACCAAUCGAAAGAUUGGAUGAGUCGCAAGACUCAUCACAAAUUAGCAAAAAACAAAUGCUGAAAACAAAUCGGCAAAAAGCGAUGCAUUAGCGGAAGUUUACGCUCCCGCGUAUGUAUACGCCUAAGCUAGCUUUUAGUUAGCUUAUGUCAGAGGGCGUUUAUCCGGAAAGGCUCAACCUGACAUAAUAAAACCGGAAUGAGGUUGUACUACCUCGGUUGAGUAGUAUUGCCGGGCGCAUUAAGCGCAAAAGCCGUAAGGCCAAACCUAUAACAGGGCUAAAAGGUACGCCGAAUACUUUCCUGCCGAACAUAACAUUCGGAUAUACUUGUAAACUUUUAUAGUUAAGCUUUCAACACAGGGGUUCGAUUCCCCUCAUCUCCACCA